RNAcentral lists this ribosomal RNA (499 nucleotides) under uncultured Glomeromycotina. Its description in RNAcentral is "partial small subunit ribosomal RNA". It matches the Rfam family "Eukaryotic small subunit ribosomal RNA", at positions 591 to 1091 of the family's 1831-position model. The record is from RNAcentral. Lineage: Eukaryota; Fungi; Glomeromycota.
CCAAUAGCGUAUAUUAAAGUUGUUGCAGUUAAAAAGCUCGUAGUUGAAUUUCGGGAUCAGUACGCUGGUCGUGCCUUCGGUAUGUACUGGUGUUACUGGUUCCUACCUUCUGACGAACCGUCAUGUCAUUAAUUUGGUGUGGCGGGGAAUCAGGACUGUUACUUUGAAAAAAUUAGAGUGUUUAAAGCAGGCUCGCGCUUGAAUACAUUAGCAUGGAAUAAUGAAAUAGGACGUUCGAUCCUAUUUUGUUGGUUUCUAGGAUUGACGUAAUGAUUAAUAGGGAUAGUUGGGGGCAUUAGUAUUCAAUUGUCAGAGGUGAAAUUCUUGGAUUUAUUGAAGACUAACUACUGCGAAAGCAUUUGCCAAGGAUGUUUUCAUUAAUCAAGAACGAAAGUUAGGGGAUCGAAGACGAUCAGACACCGUCGUAGUCUUAACCAUAAACUAUGCCGACUAGGGAUCGGAUGAUGUUAAUUUUUUAAUGACUCAUUCGGCGCCUUAC